AGAGUUUGAUCCUGGCUCAGGAUGAACGCUGGCGGUAUGCCUAACACAUGCAAGUCGUACGAGAGUUUUUAACUCUAGUGGCGGACGGGUGAGUAACACGUGAGAAUUUGCCUUUAGGAGGGGGAUAACAAUUGGAAACAAAUGCUAAUACCCCAUAUGCUUUCGAGUGAAAUGGAUUUAUAUUUAUCCGCCUAGAGAGAAGCUCGCGGCUGAUUAGCUUGUUGGUAAGGUAAGAGCUUACCAAGGCGACGAUCAGUAUCUGGUUUGAGAGGACGACCAGACACACUGGAACUGAGACACGGUCCAGACUCCUACGGGAGGCAGCAGUGGGGGAUUUUCCGCAAUGGGCGAAAGCCUGACGGAGCAAUACCGCGUGAGGGAAGACUGCCUAUGGGUUGUAAACCUCUUUUUUCAGGGAGGAAUAAAAUGACGUGUACCUGAAGAAUAAGCAUCGGCUAACUCCGUGCCAGCAGCCGCGGUAAGACGGAGGAUGCAAGUGUUAUCCGGAAUCACUGGGCGUAAAGCGUCUGUAGGUGGUUUAAUAAGUCAACUGUUAAAUCUUGAGGCUCAACUUCAAAAUCGCAGUCGAAACUAUUAGACUAGAGUAUAGUAGAGGUAAAGGGAAUUUCCAGUGGAGCGGUGAAAUGCGUAGAUAUUGGAAAGAAUACCAAUUGCGAAGGCAGCUUUCUGGAUCAUUACUGACACUGAGAACGAAAGCAUGGGUAGCGAAGAGGAUUAGAUACCCUCGUAGUCCAUGCCGUAAACGAUGUGUGUUAGACGUG
Molecule: ribosomal RNA, 782 nt
Filed under: uncultured bacterium
Lineage: Bacteria
Description: bacterial SSU rRNA
Rfam family: Bacterial small subunit ribosomal RNA
Source: RNAcentral